Molecule: ribosomal RNA, 301 nt
Filed under: uncultured bacterium
Lineage: Bacteria
Description: partial 16S ribosomal RNA
Rfam family: Bacterial small subunit ribosomal RNA
Source: RNAcentral
CAGUCGCCGCGGGAAUACGUAGGUGGCAAGCGUUGUCCGGAAUUAUUGGGCGUAAAGGGCUCGCAGGCGGUUUCUUAAGUCUGAUGUGAAAGCCCCCGGCUCAACCGGGGAGGGUCAUUGGAAACUGGGAAACUUGAGUGCAGAAGAGGAGAGUGUAAUUCCACGUGUAGCGGUGAAAUGCGUAGAGAUGUGGAGGAACACCAGUGGCGAAGGCGACUCUCUGGUCUGUAACUGACGCUGAGGAGCGAAAGCGUGGGGAGCGAACAGGAUUAGAUACCCCCGUAGUCCCUGUCUCUUAUAC